CAGUGUCCCAAAUGAGACAGACCCUGUCCUGGAUUCACUCCCCAUCAAUUCAGAGGAAUUGGAGAAAGAAAUGACCCAAAGUCCUGACUGUCCUCGUACAACUUCUUCAGCUGGCAACACAGAACAGUGUCAAAAACAUCACUUGAUGUGCACAACAGUAUCCUCUUUGGAGAAGUGUACUCAGUGUUUUGGACCUUGUUCUUCAUUCAAGUGGGUUGGCUACCAGUGCAAAGGUAAGAUAUUUAGUUAAUUUGUACUGUGAAUUAAUUAAUUUUAAUAGGAUGUAUGUCUUUGUUGAACAAAUUACAGUGUCAGA
Long non-coding RNA from Xiphophorus hellerii (green swordtail), 316 nucleotides. RefSeq lists it as uncharacterized. The record is from RefSeq and is a predicted model, not a curated record. The transcript has 3 exons. Lineage: Eukaryota; Metazoa; Chordata; Actinopteri; Cyprinodontiformes; Poeciliidae.